Molecule: ribosomal RNA, 442 nt
Filed under: uncultured bacterium
Lineage: Bacteria
Description: partial 16S ribosomal RNA
Rfam family: Bacterial small subunit ribosomal RNA
Source: RNAcentral
CCUACGGGAGGCAGCAGUGGGGAAUAUUGGGCAAUGGGCGCAAGCCUGACCCAGCAACGCCGCGUGAAGGCAGAAGGCUUUCGGGUUUUAAACUUCUUUUAAGAGGGAAGAGCAGAAGACGGUACCUCUUGAAUAAGCCACGGCUAACUACGUGCCACCAGCCGCGGUAAUUCGUAGGUGGCAAGCGUUCUCCGGAUUUACUGGGUGUAAAGGGCUUGCAGCCGGGAAGACAAGUCAGAUGUGAAAUCCCGCGGCUCAACCGCGGAACUGCAUUUGAAACUGUUUUUCUUGAGUACCGGAGAGGUCAUCGGAAUUCCUUGUGUAGCGGUGAAAUGCGUAGAUAUAAGGAAGAACACCAGGGGCGAAGGCGGAUGACUGGACGGCAACUGACGGUGAGGCGCGAAAGCGUGGGGAGCAAACAGGAUUAGAUACCCGUGUAGUC